RNAcentral lists this ribosomal RNA (482 nucleotides) under uncultured bacterium. RNAcentral describes it as "partial 16S ribosomal RNA". It matches the Rfam family "Bacterial small subunit ribosomal RNA", at positions 30 to 507 of the family's 1533-position model. The record is from RNAcentral.
AUUGAACGCUGGCGGCAUGCUUUACACAUGCAAGUCGAACGGUAACAGCACUUCGGUGGCUGACGAGUGGCGCACGGGUGAGUAAUACAUCGGAACGUGCCUAGCAGUGGGGGAUAACUACUCGAAAGAGUAGCUAAUACCGCAUGAGAUCUAAGGAUGAAAGCAGGGGACCUUCGGGCCUUGCGCUACUAGAGCGGCUGAUGGCAGAUUAGGUAGUUGGUGGGAUAAAAGCUUACCAAGCCGACGAUCUGUAGCUGGUCUGAGAGGACGACCAGCCACACUGGGACUGAGACACGGCCCAGACUCCUACGGGAGGCAGCAGUGGGGAAUUUUGGACAAUGGGCGCAAGCCUGAUCCAGCAAUGCCGCGUGCAGGAUGAAGGCCUUCGGGUUGUAAACUGCUUUUGUACGGAACGAAAAGCCCUCUUCUAAUACAGGAGGGUCAUGACGGUACCGUAAGAAUAAGCACCGGCUAACUACGUG